This 430-nucleotide ribosomal RNA is filed under the name Pseudomonadota bacterium. Its description in RNAcentral is "Proteobacteria bacterium partial 16S ribosomal RNA". It matches the Rfam family "Bacterial small subunit ribosomal RNA", at positions 355 to 776 of the family's 1533-position model. Lineage: Bacteria; Pseudomonadati; Pseudomonadota. The record is from RNAcentral.
UGGGGAAUAUUGGACAAUGGGGGGAACCCUGAUCCAGCCAUGCCGCGUGUGUGAAGAAGGCCUUAUGGUUGUAAAGCACUUUAAGCGAGGAGGAGGGUACUGGUAUUAAUACUACCAGGUACUGGACGUUACUCGCAGAAUAAGCACCGGCUAACUCUGUGCCAGCAGCCGCGGUAAUACAGAGGGUGCGAGCGUUAAUCGGAUUUACUGGGCGUAAAGCGUGCGUAGGCGGCUAAUUGAGUCGGAUGUGAAAUCCCCGAGCUUAACUUGGGAAUUGCAUUCGAUACUGGUUAGCUAGAGUGUGGGAUAGGAUGGUAGAAUUCCAGGUGUAGCGGUGAAAUGCGUAGAGAUCUGGAGGAAUACCGAUGGCGAAGGCAGCCAUCUGGCCUAACUCUGCCGCUGAGGUACGAAAGCAUGGGGAGCAAACAGG